RNAcentral lists this long non-coding RNA (461 nucleotides) under Triticum aestivum (bread wheat). Its description in RNAcentral is "long non-coding RNA (TAES_LNC010259)". Lineage: Eukaryota; Viridiplantae; Streptophyta; Magnoliopsida; Poales; Poaceae. The record is from RNAcentral.
UAAAUUAUUGACACAAGAUAUGGCAGGGAUGACCGAGUUUCAGAAAGCUGAGCAUGCGAUUGCACUUAAAUUGAUGCGGGAGGAGUUAUUCCCCAACGCUCGUCAAUAAGUUUGGAAGGUAUGGUUUUGUGUUCCUAUGAGGCUUUGUUGUAUCAUGCCAGGUUCUAAGAUGUUGCAUUGUACAACUAUUCAAUAUGAUAAUUGUUUAACCUCCACGCUUUUUGUAUGCAGGAACCUGUUCCUGUUUGAUGAAUGAAGAGAGAAGAACAGCCAAUGAAGCAAUGUGGUUCAUGUCCUAGUACUGAUGCUUCGGGAGUGCACAAGCUUGUUUUUGUUUUGUUGACAGAAGUAGUUAUUAUCAAUAGAUUUCUGUUGGUCUCGAGCUAGUUAUUUAUGUAUGUCAACUUCUUGCUUAAGUACUUCCAAAAAUUGUUUUCUAAUCCGAAGUCAGUAAUAAUCAU